This 301-nucleotide ribosomal RNA is filed under the name uncultured bacterium. RNAcentral describes it as "partial 16S ribosomal RNA". It matches the Rfam family "Bacterial small subunit ribosomal RNA", at positions 509 to 808 of the family's 1533-position model. The record is from RNAcentral.
CAGUAGCCACGGUAAUACGUAGGUCCCGAGCGUUGUCCGGAUUUAUUGGGCGUAAAGGGAGCGCAGGCGGUUUAGUAAGUCUGGAGUUAAAGGCAUUGGCUCAACCAAUGUAUGCUUUGGAAACUGUUUGACUUGAGUGCAGAAGGGGAGAGUGGAAUUCCAUGUGUAGCGGAGAAAUGCGUAGAUAUAUGGAGGAACACCGGUGGCGAAAGCGGCUCUCUGGUCUGUCACUGACGCUGAGGCUCGAAAGCGUGGGGAGCAAACAGGAUUAGAUACCCCAGUAGUCCCUGUCUCUUAUACA